CGGCUUCAGGGGAACUCCGGCUGAGCGGGACGCGGAGCGGGGACGGCCAGAGUCUGGGGUUCGGGGCUGCCCCAGCACUAGCGGCCCCCCAGGGCUUCCUCCCCUCAAACGUUCGCGUCCUCCACCCUAGGCUGAUGCAGCGGAGGCCGGGUCGGAGGGGAGCUAGGGAGCCCCGGAGAAGAUAGAGGAGCCGUGACUUUGGCGCGCGGACCUCCUGGGGGGAAAAGAGAACCCGAGAUCACCUUCAGGAACCUGGUACCUUUCAUGGCAUAUGCGGCUGGAGUUUACUCUGUGACCCUCAUUUUAUUCAUCACAUGGCUGUUAAUGAAGGCAGAAAUAGAAGUUUGCAAGAAGGGAGUUGUAACUGUGAGUCCCGCCCGGACAGUUUUGUUUGGAUCCACCAUCAACAUUUCAUGCUCUUUGAAACCCAAAGAAGGCUGUUCACACCCUUCUAAUUUCCAAAAGUUAACCUUCUACCAAAAUCGACUUCGGGUUCACUCCCAGAAGAGCCACUUACUCACCAUGCAAGUCUCCAAUCUCCGCCUUGGAACAACUGUGUUUGUGUGCAAGGUCUCGUGUGGCGGCCACGUGGAGAGCCAAGUGUGCGGGGCCGACAUCUCUGUUGGCGUCACUCCAGAGCAGCCCCAAAACCUCUCCUGUAGCCAGCUUGGAGAGCAUGGGAACGUGGUCUGCACCUGGAAUAAAGGAAGAGACACCCACCUGUACACCGUGCACAUUCUGCAGCUGACAGGGCCAAACAAUUUGGAUUUGGAGAAACAACGUGCUCCGUAUGGGGAUGAUUUAGAUCUUGGAAUAAGCCUGAGCCCAGCUUCUCCUGAAGCCAAUUACACAGCCAAAGUUGUUGCUUCGAACAGCCUCGGGAAUUCUUCUUCCCUCCCUUUGGUGUUCUCCUUCAUGGACAUAGUGAAGCCUCUUCCUCCGAGUGACAUCAGAGCCGACUUUCCCAAUUUGUCGGCCAACCUGUGUACCUUACAGUGGCAGGACCAAGGACCAGCGGUGCUAAAUCGCCUCCAGUUCCGGCCAGUCCAUGAAAAUGCCUGGAAAACGGUUCACAUCACUAACUCUGGAGGAAGAUAUGAUCUGUACAACCUGAAACCAUUUACAGAGUAUGAAUUUCAGAUUUCCUCCAAGCUGCAUUCUGUCAAAGGAAGAUGGAGUGACUGGAGCAAGUUACUGAGGACUCAGACUCCGAAAGAAGAACCAGUUGGAAUGUUGGACGUGUGGCACAUGGUGGAUGACCUGGAAGGUGGCCUACGAAAUAUUUCUCUGUUUUGGAAGAAUAUGAGUGUGUCGGAAGCCAGGGGAAACAUCCUCAGGUACCAGGUGACUAUCCGGGAGGUGACCAGGAACAGUUCGGACGUGCCCCAUACCCUGGAGAACUUUACCUCACACACUCACUUUGCCGUGGUUCUGCCCCAGAAGGACUAUGCUGUGGCUGUCUCUGCAGUUAACUCGGAAGGAAGCUCCUCUCCCUCUUGGACCUUCAUCCCCCGUCAGCCCCGCGAAGCUCCUCGAAACGUCUUGGCCAAACCUCAGGGGACAGAUGGUAUCAGGGUGACUUGGGAGCCUCCUCAUGGAGCUGCCACCUUGGUCAAGGAGUAUUUGGUGGAGUGGAGAGCCCUUGGCACGGGCAACAGCCCGUCCUCGCCCAUCAACUGGGGCCGACUUCCCACUGUCAACAUGUCCACCGUGAUAUCAGAACACGUAAGACCCCACCUGUGUUACCAGAUCCGCCUGUGCGCCCUGUGGGGGGAUGGAGCCGGCUGCGCCAGGACCUGGGCUGAUCUGACCAGCAAAGAACCCCUGACCGGCCCCCGUGUCCAAAACGCCACAGCGGGCAAAGGCACAGCGUCCGUUACCUGGGACGAAAUCCCUGCUCAGGAGCAAAUGGGCUGCCUCCUCCAUUACAAGAUCUACCUGCAGGAGCCGCGCUCCCAGUCCCCGUCUCACAUCUUCGAAAUUCCCUACGAGGUGGCAAACACUUCGAGGCUGAUCAGAGGCCUCCGGCCUGGAGUCACGUAUGUCUUGUGGAUGACCGCCUCCACAGCAGCGGGAGAGGGCCCCCGAGGGAAUGAGAGGGAGCUUUCCCUGGAAGAUGCUCCCAAUUGGAACAUCCUGGCGGUGCCGAUUGCCGUAGCCCUGAUUGCGGUGGGGAUUUUCUCUAGGCCUCGAGUUCGAGCAAAAGUGAUGUCUGUCUUCUCGGCACUACAACCCCAGUGGUAUAAUCAAGAGAUUCCAGACCCGGCCAACAGCAUAUGGGCCAAGAAAUACUCCCUCAUGGAGGAUGAAAUGCAGCUCCAUUUUGAAAGUCUCUCAAACAACUGGACCAAUUCUGAAGAACCCGAAACUCUGGAAGUCAAAGAAGUUCUCCAAAAACCAGCCCCAACCCUCCAGGAGACACAUCCCUCUUGUUGGCCAAGAAACCAAGAGCUCCAUGAGCCAGGCAGAGAAAGCUGGCUUCAGGUUCCAAAACCCUUUGAAGCUGGAGCAGAAUAUGGCGUCUCCCACCCCUCAACGCCAGGAUCACACCGGGCUGACAAAGGACAAGUGGCUGAUCCAUACAGGGCGAUGGGGUCUGGGGGACCAAAGGCAGAAGACCCAGGCAGCCACCUUAGGGACAUCCCCGUGGUCUACCUGCCUGCCAACAUAGAUUACUUACCUUCCAACCUGGAUUACCUGCCUUCCACUGCUCCUGACCCUCUAGAAGACAGUGAGCUGCAGGGCCUGUCUUUCUCCAUCUUCCCAAAGGGCUCUUUUCACCCACUCCCCUGUGGAGAGAAGCUGACUCUGGACAGAGUUAAGAUUGACCCUGGGCCCAUCGCUCACUAACUGCCCGUGUGCUCCAGCCUUUCCUGGAUGCCGUCAUCACACUCUCCACCCCAUGGCCUGGUUACCUUGCAGAGUGGCAGUGCAUCCGAUUGUCCAGUACUCAAAGCAGCGCAGGGGGCUUUCCCCACCUGGGCAGCGCCCAGCCAGCUCACGGAACCAAGGAUGACUCGUGUUUCACCUUCAAAGUGUGCACCCCAUACCAAUUUUAUUACUAGAAUGUAAGCCUCUUGAGGGCAGGGGCUGUAUGCCGUUGUUCAUUUUUGCACCCACAGCAUUCUAGGGGUUUAAUCAAAGCUUCUUCUGACUGGCCUUCUUCCUCAGAAAGCUUUAGGAGGAACCACUGAAUCGACUUGAUUCUGGAAAUAACACGGUUGCCCAUUCAUUGGGUGAUUAGAUAAAAACAAACUAUUUUAUAGGAAUGUAAUGAAAUAAUGCUGUGCACUGAGCAAUGAGGAAUUCAGAGAAAUGGGGGAAGAUUUGCAGGAAUCACUGCAGAAAGAAGUGAGUGGAAACAUACCUCAUUACCAUUAUACCGAAGAUGAGAAAGACGGACAAGAAGCGGAAUUCUGAGUCGAGGGAAAAAACACCGACAAGUCCUGCAGGAGAGAUGACAAAACCUAUCCCCUCCCUCAGAGCCGAGAGGUGGAGGCCUACAGGGACACAACACUGCGUUUGCUAAGAAGCCAGCUUUCUUUGUUACAAGGGGGAAGGAAGACAAUCUGGAGAAGGGCAAUGAGAAAUGAUGUAAGGGUAAGUGGGGAGGCCGAUACAUUCAGAAGCUAAAAUGAUGAAAAACAAAGUUUUCCAAGAUAUACAGUCUUUUUUUUGGGGGGGAAACCAAGGUCAAGAUCGGGGCAAAAAUAAAAGUUGCCACAUCAUGGUUUGUCUCCCAAUUCGUGUGUGUGCCCAAUGUUUACAGAACUGCUACUCUGGAAGGUACUUCUCCACAGCGGACAGAGCACUCAGGCUGGAAGUCAGGAAGACCUGGGUGUGAAUCCUGC
Molecule: non-coding RNA, 3851 nt
Organism: Phascolarctos cinereus (koala)
Lineage: Eukaryota; Metazoa; Chordata; Mammalia; Diprotodontia; Phascolarctidae
Source: RefSeq, a predicted model, not a curated record